CCCUAGUAACGGCGAGUGAAGAGGAAAGAGCUCAAAGUUGGAACCUGUUUGGCUUAGCUAAACCGGAUUGUAAACUGUAGAAACAUUUUCCAGAUACACUAGACAAAAAAGUCCUUUGGAACAGGGCAUCAUAGAGGGUGAGAAUCCCGUCUUUGGUCUAAGUAGUUGUCUAUUGUGAUAUGUUUUCAAAGAGUCAGGUUGUUUGGGAAUGCAGCCUAAAUUGGGUGGUAAAUCUCACCUAAAGCUAAAUAUUUGCGAGAGACCGAUAGCGAACAAGUACCGUGAGGGAAAGAUGAAAAGAACUUUGAAAAGAGAGUUAAACAGUAUGUGAAAUUGUUAAAAGGGAACCGUUUGGAGCCAGAUUGGCUUGAUUGUAAUCAACCUAGAAUUCGUUUUGGGUGCACUUGCAGUCUAUGCCUGCCAACGACAGUUUGAUUUGGAGGAAAAAAUUAAUAGGAAUGUGGCCUUUCGAGGUGUUAUAGCCUAUUAUCAUACUCUGGAUUGGACUGAGGAACGCAGCGAAUGCCUUUAGGCAAGAUUGCUGGGCGCUUUCGCUAAUAAAUGUUAGAAUUUCUGCUUCGGGUGGUGCUAAUGUUUAAAGGAGGAACCCGUUUAGUAUAUUUUUUAUUCGCUUA
Molecule: ribosomal RNA, 635 nt
Filed under: Mucor racemosus
Lineage: Eukaryota; Fungi; Mucoromycota; Mucoromycetes; Mucorales; Mucoraceae
Description: partial large subunit ribosomal RNA
Rfam family: Eukaryotic large subunit ribosomal RNA
Source: RNAcentral